This 433-nucleotide ribosomal RNA is filed under the name uncultured bacterium. RNAcentral's name for it is "partial 16S ribosomal RNA". It matches the Rfam family "Bacterial small subunit ribosomal RNA", at positions 29 to 507 of the family's 1533-position model. The record is from RNAcentral.
AACGAACGCUGGCGGCAGGCCUAACACAUGCAAGUCGAGCGAGACCUUCGGGUCUAGCGGCGGACGGGGGAGUAACGCGUGGGAACGUGCCCUUUUCUGCGGAAUAGCCUCGGGAAACUGAGCGUAAUACCGCAUACGCCCUUAGGGGGAAAGAUUUAUCGGAAAAGGAUCGGCCCGCGUUGGAUUAGGUAGUUGGUGGGGUAAUGGCCUACCAAGCCUACGAUCCAUAGCUGGUUUGAGAGGAUGAUCAGCCACACUGGGACUGAGACACGGCCCAGACUCCUACGGGAGGCAGCAGUGGGGAAUCUUAGACAAUGGGGGCAAACCUGAUCUAGCCAUGCCGCGUGAGUGAUGAAGGCCUUAGGGUUGUAAAGCUCUUUCAGCUGGGAAGAUAAUGACGGUACCAGCAGAAGAAGCCCCGGCUAACUCCGUG